AUCUUCCUCCUCUUUUUCUGCUGGGGAUCAGAGGCCUUGCAGGAAGCCAAAAGGUCUUUCCUUGCUCAGCUCCACAGUCACUGCCCCUGCCCUGAUAAUGGUCACUCCUUUCUUUACUGCUCAGGAACUUUGACAAAAC
Neotoma lepida (desert woodrat) is the source of this 139-nucleotide long non-coding RNA. It matches the Rfam family "Smith-Magenis syndrome chromosome region, candidate 2 conserved region 1". NCBI's taxonomy places the organism in Eukaryota, Metazoa, Chordata, Mammalia, Rodentia, Cricetidae. The record is from Rfam.